UUUUUCUUUUAGGAAAACGCAUAAAAGUUGAGCCAGCUUUUGCUGAGUUAGCCUUUUAGAUAAUGCUGCAUGACAGAAUUUCCAAAAAACGCGAUUAUGAAUGCAUUAAUAUUCAUGUUUAAUACUUUCCUAAUGGAAGCCAUAUUCAGCAUUGGUUAUGGAUAUGAACUUGCAUCCGGAAUCCAGUCAAUUGAUCAUGCAGGAUCCGAGGAAAGCUUAAGAACGGAUUGGGGUCACUGGGGAAGAAAAACAGGAUGGGAUGGCAAAACAGGAUAUAAAGAUUACCAUAAAGAUUACCAAAAAGAUUACCAUAAAGGUUACCACAAAGGAUGGAAGAAAGGCGGUUUUUAUGGUAAAGGUUGAGGUCAUGAUGAAGUCUUGAGAAUCUAUGAAAAACAGAGAAGCAAUAUUCAAAGUUUGGCAAUCAUGAAGUGUUAUUAAAUGAAAAUGUAUCGAAAUUUAUUUGGUUAUUAAAUUAAUUAAAGCAGUUAUUAAAAAAUUA
This is a long non-coding RNA of Parasteatoda tepidariorum (common house spider), 502 nucleotides long. RefSeq lists it as uncharacterized. NCBI's taxonomy places the organism in Eukaryota, Metazoa, Arthropoda, Arachnida, Araneae, Theridiidae. The record is from RefSeq and is a predicted model, not a curated record.